GUCCAGAUGGCUCAGUGGUCAGAGCAUCUGCCUAAUAAGCAGGAGACCCGGUUUCAAAUUCCGGUGUGGCACA
This is a non-coding RNA of Schistocerca nitens (vagrant locust), 73 nucleotides long. Lineage: Eukaryota; Metazoa; Arthropoda; Insecta; Orthoptera; Acrididae. The record is from the annotation of a RefSeq genome assembly.